AGUAACACGUGGAUAACCUACCUAUAAGACUGGGAUAACUUCGGGAAACCGGAGCUAAUACCGGAUAAUAUUUUGAACCGCAUGGUUCAAAAGUGAAAGACGGUCUUGCUGUCACUUAUAGAUGGAUCCGCGCUGCAUUAGCUAGUUGGUAAGGUAACGGCUUACCAAGGCAACGAUGCAUAGCCGACCUGAGAGGGUGAUCGGCCACACUUGAACUGAGACACGGUCCAG
RNAcentral lists this ribosomal RNA (231 nucleotides) under uncultured Staphylococcus sp. RNAcentral's name for it is "partial 16S ribosomal RNA". It matches the Rfam family "Bacterial small subunit ribosomal RNA", at positions 109 to 334 of the family's 1533-position model. Lineage: Bacteria; Bacillati; Bacillota; Bacilli; Caryophanales; Staphylococcaceae. The record is from RNAcentral.